CAAGGAAUUUUCGGCAAUGGGCGCAAGCCUGACCGAGCAACGCCGCGUGCGGGAUGACGGCCUUCGGUUGUAAACCGCUUGGUGGGGGACGAUCAUGACGGUACCCCACGAACAAGCCCCGGCUAACUCUGUGCCAGCAGCCGCGGUAAGACAGAGGGGGCAAGCGUUGUCCGGACUGACUGGGCGUAAAGCGUCCGCAGGCGGCGCGGCAAGUGUGGUGUGAAAGCGCCCGGCUUAACCGGGCGAGGCCACCGCAGACUGCCGUGCUCGAGGGGUGCAGAGGCGGGUGGAAUUGCCGGUGUAGUGGUGAAAUGCGUAGAGAUCGGCAGGAACACCAAGGGGGAAGCCAGCCCGCUGGGCACACCCUGACGCUCAGGGACGACAGCGUGGGGAGCGAACCGGAUUAGAUACCCGGGGUAGUCCACGCCGUAAACGAUGGACGCUCGGCGUUUGGGUGCGCAUUCGCGUACCUGGGCGCCUCAGCUAACGCAGUAAGCGUCCCGCCG
This 506-nucleotide ribosomal RNA is filed under the name uncultured bacterium. RNAcentral describes it as "bacterial SSU rRNA". It matches the Rfam family "Bacterial small subunit ribosomal RNA", at positions 355 to 873 of the family's 1533-position model. The record is from RNAcentral.